Molecule: long non-coding RNA, 633 nt
Organism: Mirounga angustirostris (Northern elephant seal)
Lineage: Eukaryota; Metazoa; Chordata; Mammalia; Carnivora; Phocidae
Exons: 4
Source: RefSeq, a predicted model, not a curated record
UGAUCGUUGCUUGGCUGUAAGGACAGUUUCCAAAACCACACUGGCUCAGUCGCUACGACAACUGGAAGACUGUACUGGAAUUUACAGAGUUUCUAGUUGCCUUGUUUCUGGAGGACAAGAAGUCCCUCGUGGAUGGAUUUUGUAGUUACAACUUCUCUGUGAUGCAUCAGGGAUACAGAUCCCUGAGAAAGAGGACACCAAGGCGAGGAUUGAGAAGCAAAGUGUCCCCUACUGCUCAAAUCUGCACCCACAGUUGAUGUGGGGGCCUGGGAAAGAAGGCCGUCCUUGAAUUUUCAUUGAAGGCAUUAUGUAUUAUGUGGUGAACAUCACAGUCCUUUACGCCACGCUGAAUAGAUGCUUUCAACCGAAGGCAGAAGAUACUAGACGGCUUCCCAUUGCAAUGGACCACAUGUGCGUGGCUUGCUCUGCUGGAGGCGCUGUGUGGCCCAAGUCACAGAGCCAUCAGUCACGGAUUAUGGCUGCAAGGGGUGUCUGCACUUAAUCUCAUUUUUGAAUGAAUUAAUAUUAUUAGUUUUGACAAAUUAAUGGUAUUAGAUGUGCAAGGUGAGUAUGAAUUAUGUCCACAUCCACCUAUUACUAAAUGUGCCUCAUUCUUGCGUGAGAAAGCUUAUU